This 164-nucleotide ribosomal RNA is filed under the name uncultured bacterium. RNAcentral's name for it is "partial 16S rRNA". It matches the Rfam family "Bacterial small subunit ribosomal RNA", at positions 355 to 511 of the family's 1533-position model. The record is from RNAcentral.
UAGGGAAUCUUCCACAAUGGGCGAAAGCCUGAUGGAGCAACGCCGCGUGUGUGAUGAAGGGUUUCGGCUCGUAAAACACUGUUGUAAGAGAAGAAUGACAUUGAGAGUAACUGUUCAAUGUGUGACGGUAACUACCCAGAAAGGGACGGCUAACUACGUGCCAA